Molecule: ribosomal RNA, 1018 nt
Filed under: Barycholos ternetzi (Savage's Goias frog)
Lineage: Eukaryota; Metazoa; Chordata; Amphibia; Anura; Craugastoridae
Description: partial 16S ribosomal RNA
Rfam family: Bacterial large subunit ribosomal RNA
Source: RNAcentral
AUUCAAGAAAAGAAUUUUAGUUCUCCCUAAAGUCCAACAAAUCACCAAUUAUAACCCACAUACUUUAGAGCUACUCAAAUAAGGUACAGCUUAUUUGAAACAGGGUACAACCUACACCAAUGGGUAAUUACAAUUUUAUUGCAAAUCCGUCGGCCUAGAAGCAGCCACCAGGUAAAUGCGUUAAAGCUUUUUUGCUAUAUUACACCCCUCAAUACCAUUUUUUUCCCACAACCCUUCACCACUAUUGAAUAAUUCUAUACUAUAUAGAACCUAUGAUGUUAAAACUAGUAAAAAGAAUACUUUUCUCUUAAAUGUAACCCAAAUCAUUUUUAUCACGCCACUAAAAUUAUAAUAACAACUAUUAUCCUCUCCCUCCCCAUUUAAAAACUUUAUUUUUAACCAACGUUUUCUAACCCAAGAACACUCCAAGCAAGACAAAACAAAAAAAAAGGAACUCGGCAAAUAUAGAUAUCGCCUGUUUACCAAAAACAUCGCCUCUUGACUUCUAUAAGAGGUCCAGCCUGCCCAGUGAAUUUUUAACGGCCGCGGUAUUCUAACCGUGCAAAGGUAGCACAAUCACUUGUUCUUUAAUUAAGGACCGGUAUGAAUGGCACCACGAAUAUCUAACUGUCUCUUUUCUUCUAUCAUUGAAACUAAUCUCCCCGUGAAAAAGCGGGGAUAUAUCUAUAAGACGAGAAGACCCUAUGGAGCUUUAAACCAAAUAGCAAUUAUUUUAAUUCUGCUACAAGGUUUUUGGUCGGGGCAGCCGCGGAGAACAACUUAUCCUCCAAAUUGUACCUAGAAUCUUCUUUAACCAUAAGCCACAUCUUUACGUAUCAAUAAAUUGACAUUAAUUGACCCAGUUUCUGAUCAACGAAACAAGUUACCCUAGGGAUAACAGCGCAAUCUUCUUCAAGAGUUCAUAUCGACAAGCGGGUUUACGACCUCGAUGUUGGAUCAGGGUGACCUGGUGGUGCAGACGCUACCUACGGUUCGUUCGUUCAACGAUUAAUACCCC